This 253-nucleotide ribosomal RNA is filed under the name uncultured bacterium. RNAcentral describes it as "partial 16S ribosomal RNA". It matches the Rfam family "Bacterial small subunit ribosomal RNA", at positions 524 to 776 of the family's 1533-position model. The record is from RNAcentral.
UACAGAGGUCUCAACCGUUGUUCGGAUUCAUUGGGCGUAAAGGGUGCGUAGGCGGCGCGGUAAGUCGGGUGUGAAAUUUCGGAGCUUAACUCCGAAACUGCAUUCGAUACUGCUGUGCUUGAGGACUGGAGAGGAGACUGGAAUUUACGGUGUAGCAGUGAAAUGCGUAGAGAUCGUAAGGAAGACCAGUGGCGAAGGCGGGUCUCUGGACAGUUCCUGACACCGAGGCACGAAGGCCAGGGGAGCAAACGGG